Molecule: unclassified non-coding RNA, 417 nt
Filed under: soil metagenome
Description: partial contains 5.8S ribosomal RNA, internal transcribed spacer 2, and large subunit ribosomal RNA
Rfam family: 5.8S ribosomal RNA (bases 1-120)
Source: RNAcentral
GAUGAAGAACGUAGCGAAAUGCGAUACGUAAUGUGAAUUGCAGAAUUCAGUGAAUCAUCGAAUCUUUGAACGCACAUUGCACUCUCUGGUAUUCCGGAGAGUAUGCUUGUUUGAGUAUCAGUAAACACCUCAAAUCUCUUGUUUCUUGUGAAUAAGAGAAUUGGACUUGAGCAAUCCCAACUCUUGCAAAAGAGGCGGGUUGCUUGAAAUGCAGGUGCAGCUGGACAUUCUUCUGAGCUAAAAGCAUAUUUAUUUAGUCCCGUAAAACGGAUUAUUACUUUUGCUGCAGCUAACAUAAAGGUUGAAUGGCCAAUAUGGCUGACUGAUGCAGGAUUAACAGAGAAUUUAUUCUUUGUAAACUCGAUCUCAAAUCAAGUAAGACUACCCGCUGAACUUAAGCAUAUCAAUAACGGAGGA